GGAGGCUCUGGCUCUACAAAAUGCAGGGUUCCUCCUGGCAUGGCAGCUAAGUCCCAAGAGAGGCAGAGAUCCUGAACACGGCCAUCCUCACUGGGAAAACAGUGGCUGUCCCUGUGAAGGUGAUCUCAGUAGAGGAAGAUGGCACAGUACAAGGGCUGUCGGACUCGGUGGAGUGCAGGUCAUCCGAUGAAGAUGUGGUUAAGACCCUGGGAGGUGGCAGAGAGAUGUGGAGAUCACACACCCCUGCCCACCCAAGACUGAUGACAGAGGUUUCUUUCUGCCCACUUGGGCUGAAAAGGUAUAGAAAGAAGAGACCUGGACUGGUAUAUGUGCAGCCAAGCUUCAUGAUGCAUUUACAGCCAGAUGGCUGUGUGAAAUCAAUAAAGGCAUAAAGUUGA
Molecule: long non-coding RNA, 398 nt
Filed under: Rattus norvegicus (Norway rat)
Lineage: Eukaryota; Metazoa; Chordata; Mammalia; Rodentia; Muridae
Description: long non-coding RNA NONRATT007447
Source: RNAcentral